This 481-nucleotide ribosomal RNA is filed under the name uncultured bacterium. RNAcentral's name for it is "partial 16S ribosomal RNA". It matches the Rfam family "Bacterial small subunit ribosomal RNA", at positions 28 to 523 of the family's 1533-position model. The record is from RNAcentral.
GACGAACGCUGGCGGCGUGCUUAACACAUGCAAGUCGAACGGAAAGGCCCCAGCUUGCUGGGGUACUCGAGUGGCGAACGGGUGAGUAACACGUAGGUGAUCUGCCCUGCACUUCGGGAUAAGCCUGGGAAACUGGGUCUAAUACCGGAUAGGACCAUCGUUUAGUGUCGGUGGUGGAAAGUUUUUCGGUGCAGGAUGAGCCCGCGGCCUAUCAGCUUGUUGGUGGGGUAAUGGCCUACCAAGGCGUCGACGGGUAGCCGGCCUGAGAGGGUGGACGGCCACAUUGGGACUGAGACACGGCCCAGACUCCUACGGGAGGCAGCAGUGGGGAAUAUUGCACAAUGGGCGCAAGCCUGAUGCAGCGACGCCGCGUGGGGGAUGACGGCCUUCGGGUUGUAAACUCCUUUCAACCAUGACGAAGCUUUUGUGACGGUAGUGGUAGAAGAAGCACCGGCUAACUACGUGCCAGCAGCCGCCGUAA